RNAcentral lists this transfer RNA (72 nucleotides) under Polaromonas sp. RNAcentral describes it as "tRNA-Gln". It matches the Rfam family "tRNA". From Rfam's summary of the family: Transfer RNA (tRNA) molecules are approximately 80 nucleotides in length. Their secondary structure includes four short double-helical elements and three loops (D, anti-codon, and T loops). Further hydrogen bonds mediate the characteristic L-shaped molecular structure. tRNAs have two regions of fundamental functional importance: the anti-codon, which is responsible for specific mRNA codon recognition, and the 3' end, to which the tRNAs corresponding amino acid is attached (by aminoacyl-tRNA synthetases). tRNAs cope with the degeneracy of the genetic code in two manners: having more than one tRNA (with a specific anti-codon) for a particular amino acid; and 'wobble' base-pairing, i.e. permitting non-standard base-pairing at the 3rd anti-codon position. The record is from RNAcentral. Lineage: Bacteria; Pseudomonadati; Pseudomonadota; Betaproteobacteria; Burkholderiales; Comamonadaceae.
CGGCGGUUAGUUCAGUUGGAAGAACAACGGCCUUUGACGCCGUGUGCGCAGGUUCGAGCCCUGCACCGCCUG